GAGGAUAUAGCUCAAGUGGUAGAGCACAUGCUUAGCAUGCACAGGGUCCUGGGUUCAAUCUCCAGUACCUCCA
RNAcentral lists this transfer RNA (73 nucleotides) under Camelus bactrianus (Bactrian camel). It matches the Rfam family "tRNA". Rfam says of the family: Transfer RNA (tRNA) molecules are approximately 80 nucleotides in length. Their secondary structure includes four short double-helical elements and three loops (D, anti-codon, and T loops). Lineage: Eukaryota; Metazoa; Chordata; Mammalia; Artiodactyla; Camelidae. The record is from Rfam by way of RNAcentral. RNAcentral also lists the same sequence under 2 other names.